GCGGCGUGCCUAAUACAUGCAAGUCGAGCGGACAGAUGGGAGCUUGCUCCCUGAUGUUAGCGGCGGACGGGUGAGUAACACGUGGGUAACCUGCCUGUAAGACUGGGAUAACUCCGGGAAACCGGGGCUAAUACCGGAUGGUUGUUUGAACCGCAUGGUUCAGACAUAAAAGGUGGCUUCGGCUACCACUUACAGAUGGACCCGCGGCGCAUUAGCUAGUUGGUGAGGUAACGGCUCACCAAGGCGACGAUGCGUAGCCGACCUGAGAGGGUGAUCGGCCACACUGGGACUGAGACACGGCCCAGACUCCUACGGGAGGCAGCAGUAGGGAAUCUUCCGCAAUGGACGAAAGUCUGACGGAGCAACGCCGCGUGAGUGAUGAAGGUUUUCGGAUCGUAAAGCUCUGUUGUUAGGGAAGAACAAGUGCCGUUCAAAUAGGGCGGCACCUUGACGGUACCUAACCAGAAAGCCACGGCUAACUACGUGCCAGCAGCCGCGGUAAUACGUAGGUGGCAAGCGUUGUCCGGAAUUAUUGGGCGUAAAGGGCUCGCAGGCGGUUUCUUAAGUCUGAUGUGAAAGCCCCCGGCUCAACCGGGGAGGGUCAUUGGAAACUGGGGAACUUGAGUGCAGAAGAGGAGAGUGGAAUUCCACGUGUAGCGGUGAAAUGCGUAGAGAUGUGGAGGAACACCAGUGGCGAAGGCGACUCUCUGGUCUGUAACUGACGCUGAGGAGCGAAAGC
This 739-nucleotide ribosomal RNA is filed under the name Bacillus amyloliquefaciens. RNAcentral's name for it is "bacterial SSU rRNA". It matches the Rfam family "Bacterial small subunit ribosomal RNA", at positions 39 to 760 of the family's 1533-position model. Lineage: Bacteria; Bacillati; Bacillota; Bacilli; Caryophanales; Bacillaceae. The record is from RNAcentral.